Molecule: transfer RNA, 73 nt
Filed under: Cordylochernes scorpioides
Lineage: Eukaryota; Metazoa; Arthropoda; Arachnida; Pseudoscorpiones; Chernetidae
Description: tRNA-Thr
Rfam family: tRNA
About the family: Transfer RNA (tRNA) molecules are approximately 80 nucleotides in length. Their secondary structure includes four short double-helical elements and three loops (D, anti-codon, and T loops). Further hydrogen bonds mediate the characteristic L-shaped molecular structure. tRNAs have two regions of fundamental functional importance: the anti-codon, which is responsible for specific mRNA codon recognition, and the 3' end, to which the tRNAs corresponding amino acid is attached (by aminoacyl-tRNA synthetases). tRNAs cope with the degeneracy of the genetic code in two manners: having more than one tRNA (with a specific anti-codon) for a particular amino acid; and 'wobble' base-pairing, i.e. permitting non-standard base-pairing at the 3rd anti-codon position.
Source: RNAcentral
UCCAGGGUAGCCUAGUGGACAUGGCAUCUGCCCAGUAAGCAGAACAUUGUGGGUUCGAUUCCCAUCCUUGGAC